ACCAAAGAGAGUAGAACUGUUAG
This 23-nucleotide non-coding RNA is filed under the name Cricetulus griseus (Chinese hamster). The record is from RNAcentral. Lineage: Eukaryota; Metazoa; Chordata; Mammalia; Rodentia; Cricetidae.